Molecule: long non-coding RNA, 1797 nt
Filed under: Oryzias javanicus (javanese ricefish)
Lineage: Eukaryota; Metazoa; Chordata; Actinopteri; Beloniformes; Adrianichthyidae
Description: lncRNA (ENSOJAG00000019518.1)
Source: RNAcentral
CACCAUACAAGGAAAGGCUCCGCGCGCUCUCCACCCCACCUACUCCUCCACUAUCAGGUGGGAAGCGCACCUUGGAGGUCACGUGACGCCGCCGAGACUCGCGCGCAGGGUAAAGGUGGACUGCUUUGGUCUCGCUGUGUCCUGUCAUCUGUCCGCUGACAUUCUAUUCACCUGCGUCUUUGACGGGAUUGGGAACGAAUCCGUUGGAUUUUUCCAAGAUGUCCAUCAGCCGGAAGAACUGGUCGGCUUUAUCCAGCCUGGCACGCCAGUGGACGAUGGAGGAUGAGGAGGAGGCAGAGCGUGAGAGGAGGCGAAGGGGGAAGAGCAUCACCACGGCUGAGCCAGAUGUGGACUCCAGCCCUGAACCCAAAAACCAGUCGUCUGCCAGUGACACUGUCUCCGGGACGGAGUCCUCUCAGGGGUCCCAGGACAUCAGCAGUGUGCAGCAGAUGCAGCUGGACUUUGUGGAGAUGUUGCGAGUGCGCGAUGAGAAGCGGAGAAUGCGUCACGUGGAAAUACUGCGACAGCAGAAAGAGGAAGAGGACGAUCCUGUGGGAAGCGGGAGAGGAGGAAAAGGAGGAGACGAGGGGGGUGUCAGCCUGGCUUUUCUUGGGGGGCUGGAUGAGGAGAAAGACAGUGUGUUCAAGCCACAACCACCUUUGAAAAUAUCCACCAGUAGCAAAGCUAAAACCACCACGGAAAGCAGACAGCGUGAAAACGGAAGCGUGUCGCACCGACCUCCAGAUCCCGAUGUCAUUCCAGCAUCAAGCUCGUCUCGAAAGUUUGUCAGUUCUGUAUCCAUCUCACUAGACAACUCAUCUCCUUCUGCCAGCGGGCAGACAACUCCGACACAUCCGUCCUCCCCGAUGGGCCGCUCGUCGCCUCAGGAGCACUGGAGUCCCUCGACGCGAGAAAGUCGAAGCCCCGUUCAGAACGGCCACACAGUGGAGACCAGCCCGCAUGACUCUUCCUCCAAAGGAGACUCUGAACAGACCGCUAAACCUCCUUUCGUCAAACAGAGCUCCAGGACUUUAUCUUUCAGGAUGAUGAAAAAAAAAGAAGAAGAGAAAUCGCCUCUGCAGAGGAGCUCAAGCGUCAGAAUUGUCUCCAAGAAGUUUGAGUCCAGCAAGGAGCCAAACGACAAUGAGGACAACACAUCUUUCCAGAGAAACUCGAGGCAGAGGAUUUCCUCCAGAUCUAUCAGGGAGAAGAUGGAGAGGCUGGCUCAGGCAGCACAGAAAUCCGAUUCGCCUCGCUCUCCCGAUGUGACCCAGAGGACCCUGUUCCUGCUAGAAGAAGUCUCGAGGAAGAGAACCCUUUUUGAAAAAGACGAGCCGCCACAGAGCAUCACCAGUCCUGGGGCUUCCAGAAAAGAAUUUAAAAGUUUCACAUCAGGAAUGUCAGAACGGAUCAACCGCUUUGUUAAGUCCAACCAAUCUGGAUCCGCACUCAGUCCUGACUUGAGACAUGUGGACAUCAGCAGUAAGAGAAGCCUGUUUGAGAACAGAGGAGAGGACGCUGCUCCAAAGAGCAGCCCUGGAAAAACCUUCAAAUAAAGAAACCACAUUUGCAAUAUCCAACAGAAAAGGUGGAGAUGGGGAAACCUACCGGAUGAUACACCUUCAAAGCACAAUAAAAUAAUAUAAAAAAGCAGGUGAAAAUAUGUGGAGUGUAUCUUUAGCUGAAGCUUCUUUCACAUUUAAUUCAUACUUUUGCUCAUCUUUUUCGUGUUUGGAUUGUUUUACAUGCUGGGAGUGCAAAGGAAAUAAAUCUGACAGCUAUUAAAGGAGUGAAAAU